CCCCAGCUUUGUCCUCCAGUGGGGCUGCUGUACAGACGGAGGAAACCCCACCUGAAGGGCUGGGGGCGGUACAGCUGCGCUGAAGGAGCAGCCGGUGGCCCCACGUUCUGCUGCUCCUCUUUCCGGUACACCGUACCCACCAUAACUAUCUUGCCGGUACAGCGUACCAGACGGGGCCGCCCUGAUUGCUCGGCUGAAAGAUACUGAUGUCCUUUGUAAAGCCCUUUGAGAGUUAUUGCUGAAAAGUGCUCUAUAACAGCAUGGUGAUAUUAAUUAUUAUCCAUACCUUUGUUGCUCCUGAUUAAAUUACUUCAAAGCACUCUGCAAGGGAUUACACCUUAAAUCUCUGUGGACACUGAAGAUAGGCAACCGCCUAACUGUGAUACAACAAAGAGAUUUAAUAAAUUAACACCGGUUGAUUCUGCUGGCCAAAUAUAUUGUGUGAAUUGAAGAACUAAGCCAUAUAUAUAAGGCACUCACUUGGACCAGUUUACAUUUUGUGGGUGAAGAAUUUGUCUCAUCUUCUAUCCCUAGAAACAACUCUGGCAUAAUAAGGUGGAAAAUCUCCCAAGUGAGUGGAAGUACAAUCAGCACCUGGGGGUUGAUCCCCUCACUCCAUGGGAAAGGUCACCAAGUAUACAAGGAACAGAGGACAAUUUGGACUUUUCCUCCACCUCAGAUGUCACAGCAGCUGCUUUGUGGCUGUUCUGUCCUCUAAAGGAACACACUGUCUCCGCAAGAUGAGAGAGGGGGAGAAAGAGACAUCUUACGCCAUUAUAAUUACUUGGGCAAAAAUAAACACACAUAUGGUGUGACAUUUUCUUAAUGCUCAGAUCUUAUUUAGUAGAUGUAUUAAUUAAAAUAAAAAAAGAACCCAACAACCCAUGAGUCAUGAGGACAUGAUGAGCUAUCUUGUGGAAAUG
Molecule: long non-coding RNA, 923 nt
Organism: Mauremys reevesii (Reeves's turtle)
Lineage: Eukaryota; Metazoa; Chordata; Testudines; Geoemydidae
Exons: 4
Source: RefSeq, a predicted model, not a curated record